UCUAUGAUAGUUCAUUAGAGAUCUAAUAAAUAUGAAAUUGAGAUUUGAUUCAUCAACUGUAUUUUGAAUUGUAGUGUCUUUUAUUUGUACGUCAAUGAUUAUUGCUGGUAAUGCAUGCGAUCGAUCUUGAUAAAGCUUAAUUAUCAAGUAGUCAACAAGCUUAAACCCCCAUGCAUCUAUUUGGAGCUAGUAGCAUGAAAAAGACAUAAGAGUUACAACUUUUCAGUUGUAGUUAUACUAUAUCGUUUGUCCCCGACGAAUUAUUAGUUUCUUAGACCAA
RNAcentral lists this long non-coding RNA (280 nucleotides) under Ananas comosus (pineapple). Its description in RNAcentral is "long non-coding RNA (ACOM_LNC028621)". Lineage: Eukaryota; Viridiplantae; Streptophyta; Magnoliopsida; Poales; Bromeliaceae. The record is from RNAcentral.